Brassica napus (rape) is the source of this 2256-nucleotide long non-coding RNA. RefSeq lists it as uncharacterized. The transcript is spliced from 2 exons. Lineage: Eukaryota; Viridiplantae; Streptophyta; Magnoliopsida; Brassicales; Brassicaceae. The record is from RefSeq and is a predicted model, not a curated record.
CGGACAUAUCAAUUCGGUUCGGGCAUUUCAGAUAUUGGAUAGUUCGGAUAGGAGACUAGAUGAUCCAUUUACUACUUGACAUAUUUUCGGUUCGGUUUUGUUCAGAUAGUGGGCUCGGUUCGGAUAGUAAAACUAGGAACCCGAGAAUACAUAGAAAAAAUUAGGUUUUCAUUUGGUUCCGGUUCGGUUAUUUCGGAUAAUUCGAGUAAAAUAUUGGAUAUUUUGGAUAAAAUAUUGAAUAAUUAGGAUGAUUCAGAUAAAAAUAUCAAAUAUUUCGGAUUACUUUGGAUAUCUGGAUAAAAAUAUCCGAGUACUUUCAGAUACUUUUGGGUAGUUCUGAUAUUUUAUAAUAAUUUAGUUUUCUUCAAAUAUUUUUGAAUACUUUUAAUAGUUUUUUAAAUUAUAAAUAAAUAUUUAAUUAUGUUAUAUGAAUAUAUAAUUAAUAUUUUAAUAUAUUAGGUACCUGUUCGGUUCUCGGUUUGAUUCCGGUUUGGUUUGGUUAUUUGAAUAUAGAAAUAUAGGAACCAUUCAAGGGUACCAGACCGGUUUUGGUUUCGGGUAUUUUGGUUCGGUUCAGUUUUUUUUUUGUCCAGACCUGGGUGGAAUAUUGAAGAUUAUCUCUACAAUAAAAUAACAAAUUAAAUAGAAAAUUAAGAAAGAGGGAUUAAAAAAGAAUGAGAGAGGAUAAUAUACUAUUUUCAUUUGAAAAUCCUUUCACAAAGUUUGAGAAACUCUCAAACAAAGUGUCUUUAUUUUGUUAAUUAAAUUCGUUUUAUUUACAGUUUAGUUAAAAAUGAUAUGUUGAAGAUAUUUUGUUAAAAAACUAUUUCAUGCUGAUGUUUUAAGAAAAUUGUGGAUUUCUCUCUCUUAAAAUAUUUACAUUAUAUCAACUUGUAUUUAUUAAAGUUCAUUAAUUGCUUCGACCAUAUCAGCUACCCUAAUGUUCAUGUUUCAAUUUUUUUAGUCAGAGCUCACUUUGGGUUAAAGUUGUAGACACCAAAAGUAAUAUAGUGAUUUUUAUGGAAAAAUAAAAAUUGUUCAUGCUUUAAGAUACCACCUCCAUAAAACCAGACUUGGUUCUAACUGAGGGGAAUUCUAAUUGUGAUCAUAUUACGUAGAAAGAAGUACACCGUAAGACAGUUUUAAGUUUAUUAUUACAAUAUAAGACACUUUUAAGAAUUACACCAUAAGGCAAUUUAAAAUUUAUUAGAGAAAAUUGUCAAAAACGGAACAAAAAUUUAAUAUGGUUGUCCCUAUGAUAUAAAACAAACAUGAAGUUGUCCCUAUAGUAUAAUUUUUUUCAUAAUCUCAAAACUAACCCUUUAAAUUAAUCAAAUUAAUCAAAAUUUAAAACUUUAAUUGAAUUUAAAAAGGUUAAUGAAAAAAAAGGAAAAACAUAAUAAAAAGGCUAAGAAAAAAAAAUUAAAACAAAAAAAAGGAACAACACUCCCGUAACCCUAACCAUAUUGGUUUCUCAGCCUCUCUGUCUCUCUUUCUCUCUCGGCGAUCAAGAAGGCGAUUGUGCCUUUUACAGUGAAAUCGAGCUUCCCUUCAGGUGAAACCCCUUCGUCCGUCUCCGACAUCACUGGCACCGAAGGGCCGACGUUUAGCUCAGGGAUGUGCACUGAAGUGUUUCAGUUCGAUGUCUCAACAACCUCCGGAGCCAUUAUACCAGCAUCUCCAGCAGCCAACGCCAUUACACCUGCAUCUCCAGCAGCCAACGCCAUUACACCUGCAUCUCCAGCAGCCAACGUCUCUUCUGAACACAGUAAGAACGCCACAGACACGCACAACGGAAAGAACGGAAGAACCUUGUCUGCCCAUUCCACUCUCAGGAUCAGAUUAUAACUUCACCAAAGAGCACCAAAGAAACAGCUCUAGCAAAUAAAUCAAGCCCGCUUCAUCAAUGGUUCUGUCAGUGCUUGUUGAUCCUAGAGAAGGUGGUGAUGGAGAUAUCGAUGGGAUGAUUGGGGGACCAAAUUCAUUGUCUCGAGUUUUUGUUGUCGUGCUUGUGGACAGUGCAAAGUAUGUAACAUACUCUUGUGUCCUACCUCGAUCAGGAGCUCCUCAUCUUGUGUCCACUUAAAAAGCUUUACAGGACUGAAACAUGAUUCAGCGGUUUUUUAUCCUUCAGCUGUGUAUGUAGAAGAAUAAACAAGCUGCCUGCCUAUGGAAUCAAGUAGUAUCCUUAGUUAUUACCGUUUUGUUUCCAGAUGUAGAAUCCGAGUGAUGUAACUUUUUUAUAUAUAUUUUUCA